AAAUUUUUAAAAACACACGCGCAAUUUUCGCACAUGCAAUUCAUUUCGAAAUUAAUUUAUAUCCUCACCUGCGAUCAAUAAAUAUAUCGCUAUCAAAACUGCGCCCAUCUACAUAUGUGCACAAAAUUGAAAAAUUUCCACACUAUCCACGCUGCAAAAGUUUGAAUUAAGUUAUAAAUUGCUUGAUUUUCUUCUGUUCUCUUUUCUCACCUUGCAAGUUUCGUCUGCCUGCGUGCAGCCGUGCAGAAGCAGACGACAGACGCCAACUGACACUUGACAUACGAUUUGCUGUUGCUGGUUUGCUGCACAGCACAAUGCCCUCCUUCUUACCCAAACUUCUUCCUUGGUGACCUUGGCUAGACCUUGGCUACUUAUAUUUUCCGUUUUGUCGAUUCUUCGUUCUGUGUCUUUAUGCCAAAUUGACUUUUUUUGCCUCGGAAUUCGAUCUGGAUGACUCCUCUCCUCUCUUCUUCUACCCUCUCAACCCAACACAGUGACUCACUCUCUGCGCUCAACAAGUUAAAACUUGCUCUCAUUGUAUUGGACGACCGACGAUUGGCUAUGAAAGAAUGCAAAAGAAAAUUGCAAGAAGAGGAAAGUAGAAAAAUAUUUAACAUUGCUGUGUAUUAUUGUAUUAUGCGUGUGCAAAUGAAAACCAAUCAACGCGUGUCUUGACGAGAGUAUGUAGUGGCAACUGGCAGUAGCCGCGGUCGGUGCCAGGUCAGUGCUGCAGGAGAUAAUUUUGUGUUUUGUGUGCCAAAUAAUAUGACAUACAGUAUGUGACGCCCGGCUUUACCAGUGCUUUUUUUUAAUCAGUGACAAUAUAUGUGCCUAAUUAUUUUAGCCAGUGUCAUCAUCACCAACAAAAUUUACAAGGCCGCCACCGCACCAUGGUCGAUUUUGAGUUGAGCACCGUGUCGGCAGCGGCGGGCGCCAGCGUCCUUAUAUUUGUAAAACAGGGAGGACACACUGCGAACGCCAUUGAGCCCGAGUGUUUCGCUUUAGAUGGAGAAGAGAGAGAGACGCGCCCAUGAGAAUUUCAGAGGGUCCUUGCUCCUUCCAUCUGCUGGCUCGAGUAGCGGAGGGGCGGCCGCCGAGAAUGCGCGUGAAAUUUGCACGCAGGACCUACACCAACAACGGCGCGCGGCAGCGCUAUGAAUGGGCUUAAAGGUGACCUUUUACAGACACAAUAUAAUACGCGCAAGGACCAGCGCCUCCCGCCACAGUUGUUUUGCUAAACAUCAAAAACGUAGCUAGGCGCCAUCACACCUUUUGGCAUAACGCCAUUGCAAUCACCAUUGGCAGCGUUUGGAGGUUUUUAUAUUUUAAAUUUUUAGUAAAAUUUUUUUAAACUAAAAUAAAUAAAUAUUCUUUCAAAACAUAUCAAUUUUUAAUAUUAAUAAUUUAAAAUAACUUUUAAAUUGGCCAUUUACUUAUACUCAACUUUUAUGGAAAACAAUUUUCGAUGAAUUUUA
Neocloeon triangulifer is the source of this 1475-nucleotide long non-coding RNA. RefSeq lists it as uncharacterized. Lineage: Eukaryota; Metazoa; Arthropoda; Insecta; Ephemeroptera; Baetidae. The transcript has 3 exons. The record is from RefSeq and is a predicted model, not a curated record.